GUCCCUGUAGUUCAAUAGGAUAGAACAGCGGACUUCUAAUCCGCAGGUUGUAGGUUCGAGUCCUACCAGGGAUA
Molecule: transfer RNA, 74 nt
Filed under: Promethearchaeota archaeon
Lineage: Archaea; Promethearchaeati; Promethearchaeota
Description: Candidatus Lokiarchaeota archaeon tRNA-Arg
Rfam family: tRNA
About the family: Transfer RNA (tRNA) molecules are approximately 80 nucleotides in length.
Source: RNAcentral